CUAAAGGAGUUACAAAAGAGAGUCAGCCAGGUUUUUGUGUUGAAGAUGAUUUUUUUUUUAUUGCAAAUGUACGUGUUACACUACUGGUAAUAUACAGAAAUUUAAAAAGCUACUGUUUCAUGAUUACAAAACUUCACAAAAUUUGUUACAACUAAAAAAAUCCACCUUCAAGAGUAUAUAAAUAGAAUUUUGAGCAUAAAUAAUAGUAACAAAAUAAACAGAUGUAUGCAUUCAAUAAAUUAAUUAUAAAUAUUGCAUUGGCAAUGAAGUGCUAGGUCAGAAGAAGGCUAGUAUUUCCAGUAGAGUUUUUUUGGUAUAGAAAUCUCUAUUAUAAACGAACCUUUGGAAAGGAGUAAAAUCCCUGAACCCUUUUCUCACAUUCCUUUUUGGGAGGAGUUUCAGGUUUGUUAUUCCUUUGUCAAAUUGUUGCAACAGGAGAACUGAACUGAAGGUAUCAGACAUGCACCUCUUGGCCAUAAGGUACCCACAGUCUUUCCCUGAAAGGUGAAUGGUAUGACUGACCCACUUCUGCAGUAUUCAAGUAACUAAACUGUCUCUCCAUUGAUUUCAGCUGAUGCAGAAUCAAGCCUGGAAGGCCUUAAAGGAACUGCUGAUGUUGGAAGGAGCGAUUCCCUCAGGACAGGGCAGAUGGACUGCUUGCACUUAGCUGCUCGUGUGAGCAAAUGCAGAAGGUAACUCUGCAGCCCA
This 708-nucleotide long non-coding RNA is filed under the name Struthio camelus australis. RNAcentral's name for it is "lncRNA (ENSSCUG00000018720.1)". Lineage: Eukaryota; Metazoa; Chordata; Aves; Struthioniformes; Struthionidae. The record is from RNAcentral.